CCCGCGUAAUUUAAGCAUAUUACUAAGCGGAGGAAAAGAAACUAACAAGGAUUCCCCAAGUAGCUGCGAGCGAACAGGGAAGAGCCCAGCACCGAAUCCUGCGUCUGGAAAGGCGUCUGGAAAUGUGGUGUUUGGGAGGAUCCGAUAAUCUCGCCGGAUCACGCCAGUCCAAGUCCAUCUUGAAAGCGGCCACAGCCCACAGAGGGUGCCAGGCCCGUAGGACGGCGGCUGCGAUCCGGCGAAAGGGUCUCUCCAGAGUUCAAGAGUACGUGAAACCGUUCAGGGGUAAACGAAUGAUAUCUGAAAAAUCGAAGCGAGAGAUUCAAAUUGUACGUCGCGCGUCCACGCGGUGACCACCGAUCAUCUUGGGUUCCCCCGCGCGCUGCAGCAAUGCACGCCGGUACGGACACACAGCAUGUACAUAGGUCGCCACUAGCGCCGGCAGCAGUCUACACUUCUCUGGUGGUAGUACGCCGCGACUCGUUGGGUGCGCGUCAAAGGCCCAUGCGGGAGCCGGAACCAAAUGCAAUGCCGUAUAGCGUGCACGCGGAGCCGACCGCGAGGUGACCCGACGAGCUUGCCCGACGGUGAAUAAGCGAUACGACAAAAGUCGAGCUCUAACGCUCGAUGGCUUUCACUAGCACGUCUUCGCGUCAAGCGGGGCUCCAUUCAGAGCCUAUUCGACCCGUCUUGAAACACGGACCAAGGAGUCUAACAUGUGCGCGAGUCAUUGGGACCGCACUAAACCUAAAGGCGUAACGAAAGUGAAGCGCGCCGGUCGGUCGCGCGCGUUCGCGCGCGCGCACCGCACCGGCCGCGAGGGAAGAUGUCACCCGUCCUCGGCGACGCGGAGACCGCAUCCCCGGGGCGUCUCGUUGUCAUUGCGACACAGCAGGCGCGCCCAGAGCGCACACGUUGGGACCCGAAAGAUGGUGAACUAUGCCUGGUGCUCGGAGUGCGUUAACGAAGCGGCGUCGCCACUCGUGGCGGCGUCGCACCCAACCAGUCUCAUCUGGUAAAGCGAAUGAUUAGAGGCCUUGGGGCCGAAACGACCUCAACCUAUUCUCAAACUUUAAAUGGGUGAGACAUUCGACUUGCUCGAAACGAUGAAGUCGAAUAGUCUUUGAAUGCGAACGGAUGAAUGAGUGCCAAGUGGGCCAAUUUUGGUAAGCAGAACUGGUGCUGUGGGAUGAACCAAACGUCGAGUUAAGGCGCCUAAAUCGAUGCUCAUGGGAUACCAUGAAAGGCGUUGGUUGCUUAAGACAGCAGGNNNNNNNNNNNNNNNNNNNNNNNNNNNNNNNNNNNNNNNNNNNNNNNNNNGGAAUCUGGUUCCUAUUCCGGAACCCGGCAGCGGAACCGAUCACGCGGGCCAAUGUCGUAGCGAUACGACAACUCGUCGGGGUGACCCAAAAGGACCCGGAGACGCCGUCGGAUGAUCGGGGCAGAGUUUUCUGUUCUGUAUGAGCGUUCGAGUUCCCUGGAAUCGCCUAGCGCGGAGAUAGGGUUUGGAACGCGAAGAGCACCGCACUUGCGGCGGUGUCCCGAUCUAUCCCUCGGACCUUGAAAAUCCGGGAGAGGGCCACGUGGAGGUGUCGCGCCGGAUCGUACCCAUAUCCGCAGCAGGUCUCCAAGGUGAGGAGCCUCUAGUCGGUAGAA
This 1656-nucleotide ribosomal RNA is filed under the name Zelandobius uniramus. Its description in RNAcentral is "partial 28S ribosomal RNA". It matches the Rfam family "Eukaryotic large subunit ribosomal RNA", at positions 24 to 1895 of the family's 3401-position model. Lineage: Eukaryota; Metazoa; Arthropoda; Insecta; Plecoptera; Gripopterygidae. The record is from RNAcentral.